Molecule: ribosomal RNA, 330 nt
Filed under: uncultured eukaryote
Lineage: Eukaryota
Description: partial 18S ribosomal RNA
Rfam family: Eukaryotic small subunit ribosomal RNA
Source: RNAcentral
CCCUUAGAUGUUCUGGGCCGCACGCGCGCUACACUGAUGCAUUCAACGAGUCUAAAACCUGCUCUGAUAGGGGUGGGUAAUCUUUUGAAUGUGCAUCGUGAUUGGGAUAGAUGAUUGCAAUUUUUCAUCUUCAACGAGGAAUGCCUAGUAAACGCAAGUCAUCAGCUUGCAUUGAUUACGUCCCUGCCCUUUGUACACACCGCCCGUCGCUGCUACCGAUGGAUGGUCCGGUGAAAUCUUUGGAUUGGAAAGAAUAAGUAGCUCUUGUGGUUACUUCUUUUUGAAAAAUUGAUUAAACCUUAUCAUCUAGAGGAAGCAAAAGUCGUAACA